GCGAGUCUGCCUUGAAGAUCGGAGUGCUUGCACUCUGUGAAACAAGAUACAGGCUAGCGGCGGACGGGUGAGUAACACGUGGGUAACCUGCCCAAGAGAUCGGGAUAACACCUGGAAACAGAUGCUAAUACCGGAUAACAACAGAUGAUGCCUAUCAACUGUUUAAAAGAUGGUUCUGCUAUCACUCUUGGAUGGACCUGCGGUGCAUUAGCUAGUUGGUAGGGUAACGGCCUACCAAGGCGAUGAUGCAUAGCCGAGUUGAGAGACUGAUCGGCCACAUUGGGACUGAGACACGGCCCAAACUCCUACGGGAGGCAGCAGUAGGGAAUCUUCCACAAUGGACGCAAGUCUGAUGGAGCAACGCCGCGUGAGUGAAGAAGGGUUUCGGCUCGUAAAGCUCUGUUGUUGGUGAAGAAGGACAGGGGUAGUAACUGACCUUUGUUUGACGGUAAUCAAUUAGAAAGUCACGGCUAACUACGUGCCAGCAGCCGCGGUAAUACGUAGGUGGCAAGCGUUGUCCGGAUUUAUUGGGCGUAAAGCGAGUGCAGGCGGCUCGAUAAGUCUGAUGUGAAAGCCUUCGGCUCAACCGGAGAAUUGCAUCAGAAACUGUCGAGCUUGAGUACAGAAGAGGAGAGUGGAACUCCAUGUGUAGCGGUGAAAUGCGUAGAUAUAUGGAAGAACACCGGUGGCGAAGGCGGCUCUCUGGUCUGUUACUGACGCUGAGGCUCGAAAGCAUGGGUAGCGAACAGGAUUAGAUACCCUGGUAGUCCAUGCCGUAAACGAUGAGUGCUAAGUGUUGGGAGGUUUCCGCCUCUCAGUGCUGCAGCUAACGC
RNAcentral lists this ribosomal RNA (833 nucleotides) under uncultured bacterium. Its description in RNAcentral is "bacterial SSU rRNA". It matches the Rfam family "Bacterial small subunit ribosomal RNA", at positions 57 to 858 of the family's 1533-position model. The record is from RNAcentral.